GCUAGCGACAGGCCUAACACAUGCAAGUCGAGGGGUAGCAUGAAAGUAGCAAUACUUUUGAUGACGACCGGCGCACGGGUGAGUAACGCGUAUGCAACCUACCUACUACAGGGGAAUAGCCCGAAGAAAUUCGGAUUAAUGCCGCAUAAUACAGGGGCACCGCAUGGUGAUAUUUGUUAAAGAUUAAUUGGUAGUAGAUGGGCAUGCGUUCCAUUAGCCAGUUGGUGAGGUAACGGCUCACCAAAGCAACGAUGGAUAGGGGAACUGAGAGGUUUAUCCCCCACACUGGUACUGAGACACGGACCAGACUCCUACGGGAGGCAGCAGUGAGGAAUAUUGGUCAAUGGGCGAGAGCCUGAACCAGCCAAGUCGCGUGAAGGAUGACUGCCCUAUGGGUUGUAAACUUCUUUUGUACUGGGGUAAAAAAGAGGACGUGUCCUUUCUUGCAAGUACAGUACGAAUAAGCAUCGGCUAACUCCGUGCCAGCAGCCGCGGUAAUACGGAGGAUGCGAGCGUUAUCCGGAUUUAUUGGGUUUAAAGGGUGCGUAGGCGGGGAUUUAAGUCAGCGGUGAAAGUUUGAGGCUCAACCCUU
RNAcentral lists this ribosomal RNA (592 nucleotides) under Indolivaga capnocytophagoides. RNAcentral describes it as "bacterial SSU rRNA". It matches the Rfam family "Bacterial small subunit ribosomal RNA", at positions 35 to 617 of the family's 1533-position model. Lineage: Bacteria; Pseudomonadati; Bacteroidota; Bacteroidia; Bacteroidales; Dysgonomonadaceae. The record is from RNAcentral.